AAACUGCGAUAAGUAGUGUGAAUUGCAUUUAGUGAAUCAUCGAAUCUUUGAACGCACCCGGCACUCACUGGUAUUCCGGUGAGUACGCCUGUUUCAGUAUCAUUGAAAACACACAAUCAAAACAUUUUCUUUGGUUUGAUUGGCUUUGGGUCUAUCAAAAAGUUUGGCUUGUUUCUUACAAGCCAAGCGGCCUGAAAUAUAUUGUCUGGCUAAUUGCAUCGUUGAUGAUCGCUAUUAGACUUUGGCUUUUUUAAAUGAACUGGAGGUUGAUUAACCAGUUUUAGCUUUAGUCAAAUGGUCAUUGUAAAAAAAAUCUCGAUCUUGGCUAGGUGUUUAUAGCCGAAAAUUUUUUUUUGGCUAUAACCGAAACCAAUAUAAUCACAUUUAGUUAUCGAUCUGAAAUCAGGUGGGACUACCCGCUGAACUUAAGC
RNAcentral lists this unclassified non-coding RNA (431 nucleotides) under plant metagenome. RNAcentral's name for it is "partial contains 5.8S ribosomal RNA, internal transcribed spacer 2, and large subunit ribosomal RNA". The stretch from base 1 to 102 matches the Rfam family "5.8S ribosomal RNA", at positions 50 to 154 of the family's 154-position model. The record is from RNAcentral.